Molecule: long non-coding RNA, 4714 nt
Organism: Physeter macrocephalus (sperm whale)
Lineage: Eukaryota; Metazoa; Chordata; Mammalia; Artiodactyla; Physeteridae
Exons: 3
Source: RefSeq, a predicted model, not a curated record
ACAUGUGUCCUCGCACCAGCUUAGGUCCUUUUUCCCAUGCUACCUUGGGAUGAGAACCCUCCCAGUCCGAGAGGCUUCUAUCUGCGGUUUGUGGGGGGGCCAGCUCUGCCGUGGUUCCCUCGUGCCAGGUCCUCACACACAGGCCUCGGAGGCAAGGCCCAGCCGCAGCCUGACUUGUCUUGGUGAACGUCUGUCAUCCUCUCAGGAGCUCAGCAAGAGAGGCAGUUUUGAGAGGAAAUGUGCCAAGCUGUUUUCCAUCCACUGCCCUACCUGUGGGAGACGCCACAGGCAGUUUCUCCUCUGUUCCCCUGGUUCCCAGGAGGCAGGGGACUUUUCACCUGUCCCCGGUCUUCAGAAACAGAUGCAGACUCUAAAACUGCUUGGCUGUGGUCCUCAGGAAGGGAGUUUCCCACCUGCUCGUGUCACCAACACCGUUGGGCCCUUUCGGUUUGGCGUAGGCCUGUGGGACUGGGACACAGGUAGCUGACGCAAGCUGAUCUUAGAUUGUCUAAAUCCACCUGGGCUCGAUGUCUCCUUCCAAGUGUGGCAAGCCAACCUCAUCACAUUCUAAGUGGCCACCACACUGCUGCUUGACCACUUGGUAGAAAACCUGAUCAACAGUAGCUUAAGAGAGGGAGGAUGUUUAUUUUCCUCACAUGCUAAGAAGUCUAGACAUAAGCAACUGCUAUGUUCAGUUGGCAACAUGAUGUCAGGGCUGAUGUCCCUGCACAAAUUCUGCAAGUUUCUUGGUCACAAGAUGGCUGCUGCAGUGGCAGCCAUCACAUCUGCAUUCAAGGCAGGAUGAAGCCGUGAAGGCAGGCACCAGCUAUCUUGUCUUUUUUUUUUUUUUUUUUUUUAAGGAAGCAAUAGCUUUCCCAGAAACCUGCCAGCAGACUUCCCCUUGUGCAUUGUUGGCCCUAACAGGGUAACACCACCCUGAACUUCAAUGGAGGCCAGAGAUCCAGUUUUGAAAGAGAGGAACUAGAUUGACAUGAUUGGCCUAGACUAGACCAGACUAGUCAGAGUAUACUGCUGAGUGGGUCUCCUUGCCUCUCUGAACCAGACAGGAGCUCCACUGGUGAAACAGAGGGGACAACAGGUUGGGUAGGCAACAACCGUGUUGCCACUCGAACCAACGUGCUGAGUCCCAGCUUUCCCCACUCCCGAAGACCAGUCAGCAUCUGAGUCCACUCUCUCUUCCUGCUUGUGCGUCAACUUUAGCUCAUACUUGAACUGGCCAGUGAAGAGGUGAUUGGGGGCCUUGUGAAGACAAUUUCCAGUUCUGCAGAAACUAGCUGAAAUACCAGAGCUGACAUCAAAUGGUUAGAAGAGAGUGACAUUAGGUGGACCUCGAGAGUCUGAAGCCACCACAAGCUUACUCACCUUUGCAGAAUUCUAACCAUAGAAACUCAAGAUUGUGGAAGUAUGCCUGACUCACACCUGCUGCAAUGGCGUUGUGUAAUGACAGAGGGGCAACAAAGGAUGGCGAUGAUGACAGGCCAGACCAAGCUGUGGCGACUUGUUCUCUAACUCCAUAAGCCAACAGGGAAAUUAUGAGCUGGUGAAACAGGUCUCACGAUCCCUCCAGAAAUUCAAAGGUGGUUUUUCAUCUCCUGCUUGCAGUGAAGAGACUAGGUUGUUCGAUGCUUCUCUUCACUUGUUCCAUUGUUUCUGUACUUGCCUUACAGGACUCUUCAUUAUCAUUUAAUCCAAGUUGUGUUCAACAAAGAUUUCUUGGGACUUCUCUGGUGGCGCAGUGAUUAAGAAUCCUCCUGCCGAUGCAGGGGACACGGGUUCAAGCCCUGGUCUGGGAAGAUCCCACAUGCCUCGGAGCAACUAAGCCCGUGCGCCACAACUACUGAAGCCCACGCACCUAGAGCCCGUGCUCCGCAACAAGAAAAGUCACCGCAACGAGAAGCCCGUGCACUGCAACAAAGAGUAGCCCCCGCUCGCCGCAACUAGGGUAAGCCCGAGCACAGCGACGAAGACUCGACGCAGCCAAAGAUAAAAUAAAUAAAAUAAAUUUAUUUUUUAAAAAAGACCCGAAGAUUUCUUAAGCCCUUUGUACAUGCUAGCCACUGAACUAGGAGCUGGGAAUGCAGCUGUAAAUAUCAGUAAGUGGACAGAGACACUAGUGUCUUCUGUUACCUUCUUCUGUUCAUUUAAUGAAAUUCAUCUGUCUUUGAGGUAUUUUGAUCAUAAGUCAGAGCAUAAAAGUAUGGAGUUAAAGUAUGGGCUCUGUUAAGACAGAUUUGAGUAUGAGACUCAGGUUCAUCACUGCAACCUGUGUGUUCAUGGAUGUUGUUAGAACACAAAAUUCAACUGAGUAAAUGUAAAGAUCUAUCGGGCUUUUUUCAACAACCCAUGAAUCGGGCGGCAUCCCAUCUAGCAAAGAGAAAGGAGCGGGACAGAAUGGAAGACUUUUCUGUGCAGACAGAGGGGAAGGCCAAGGAAAGAGCAGACCUUUUCGGGCAAGGUCACCUUACUUUAGGGGACAAAAGAGGUCUAUCAGGGGGAUUUUCUCACUAGUGCUGACCAGGAAAUUCCAGACUGACUACUGAUUCCAUUCUUGGGGAAGGCUGAAACUUCAAUUAGAUUAGGUAUUAAGUCUCAGUUUGGUAACGUAGGCUGAGGACAAGUGACUCCAUUUGGGGCGUGUUGCCUCUUUUUUAACAGUUCCCCCUUGGGUCAGACUCAGCUUAACUGAGAGCUGUGAGCAAAAUUUAAGGCAUUAGCGCUCAGCUACUGCUCUGAAGUUCUUAAAGUCUUUGUGGAUCUUCCGUGCUGUAUUCACAGGUCAUGACGUUUGUUGCUUAAUUUCUGUGAUGGUCACAAGCCAUGACUUCAGGUUCACAAUUUUGAAGUCGGGCGUUCUUUUCAUUCCUUUUCCGAUGUUCCAGUCUUAGGGAGAUCAUUUUCUUGGUGGUUAUUGGCUGGGAACAUGCACUUGAAGUGUGAGAAUACAGCACCUUAGGGAGACUACUGUGACUGUUAGAAGCAGGGUAAUUCCCGAUGCCUGGAGUGCUUUUGGGGGCCAUGGCCCCCGAGACGCAAACCAGUCAAAACCAAAUAAGUCCAACGAAGACCCCGUGGAAGGAGCCACCUUUUCAAACCAAGUGGAUCGCUCAGGGAUCCAGAGUAACUGAGUUUCAAAUUCCCGGGAAGAAUAAACCCAAGUGCAGCAGGUGGUGUUGGCCAGGGAAGUAGUAGGGCCCUACCAAAGGAAGAAAAUCCUGAACUACAAAUGCCUCCUGAUAAUUCCUGUUUGAAUGUGUGCCUCAGGACUGAAAGAAUGACAACCAUGGGUGCCAGUAAAACGUUACGUGUCGGUAGACCACACACGCAGUUUUAUUCUCGUUACCCUUGUCUUGUGUCCCUUUUUUCGUAUAGAGUCUGGAUGCAGCAUUCCCCAAGGUGGGAUCGUCGACCAGAGUCAGGGAAAUGGGUCAGGGGUCUCUAGCAUCAUAAACAGAUGAGGGAUUCUGAUGACAAUGCCAACAGUCUGAAAGGUUAUCCCCUCAGCAAUGGCCUGGGAGAUACAAAUGAUGGCAUUUCCAGGCCAAUUCCAGAGUAAAGGACAGAAGGAGAAGAAGAGAGAGUUUUAAGUUUAACGUAUGAGAUCUUGAUCCAGCGUCUUCGGAGGAAGCGGUCUACCUCAAUGUUGGCUACUUCUCUUCCUAGUCAAUUUGAUUUCGAGAUCUCCAGCUGGUGUACAGGACCAGACAUCAGGUGGAGACUUCUUCAGCUCUGAGAUAUAUACCCUAGGCUCAAGUCCCCAAAGUUUGGCUGCCAUCUGGGUAGUGUAGAGGACCUGGUAUAGUACCUUCCAAAGGAGAUUCAAGUGCUGUCUUUGUUCUCAGUGAUUCCAAAUCAGAAGGAUGGGAGAAAAUUAGCAAAUUCCUGGGCCUUACCCAGACCUACUGAAUCAACAGUCUCUGGAGAUAGAGCCCAGCAUCUGUGUUCAACAAUCUCUCCAGGUCUUGGUUAUACCUGCUAAAGUUUUAGAACUCUGCUCUGACCUAUUCUCCCCUUUACACCUCAGCUUCGUCUAAUACCUACCCAAGUUGGUUUUCCAUUCAUGGGGCCAGUGUUUUCUUUAUAUAAUCAACAGGUGUGUGGGGUUUGAUUGUUAGGUGCAGGAAUGGGAAAGGUGGAGGUGGUGGUCAUAGGAGAUAUGAUUCCAUAUUCCUUCUAAGGGAUAACAGUUUAUCCUUCCUGUCUCAUAUGAAUGGAGAAAACAAACAAUUUUAAACAGAAUUUAAACCCAGCGUUGAACCAGGUAACCAGGCCAAGGACAGAAUCUCCGGCGAUUAUCUCCCAUUUGCACCUAGCUUAUGUGAUCUUCCUUUCCUCGUCUCUUCCUCAUUCUGGCAUCUGAAGAUUACUGUCAUUAACGACAUUGUAUUAUGGCUGAAAUAUUUCUUCCACAGAGUGACAAUUUUCUUGCAUUAGAUUCCCAAGUUCUGUGGAAGAGAAAACAUUGUCCAUGACACUGAGGCCCAUCUAUCCAUAGGUUCUAUAGGACCGUACAGCCACGUGAGCCCACCUGCUCAGAAAGCAGACACUAUUAAAAUAGUCUUAUGUGCAGGGCAUAAAUUAGGAGCUUGGAAUGAACAUACACACACUACUAUAUAUAAAAUAGAUAACCAACAAAGACCUACUGUAAAGCACAGGGAACUAUACUCAAUAUCUUGUAAUAACCCAUCAUGGAAAA